GAAACACGGACCAAGGAGUCCAACGUGUGCGCGAGUCGUUGGGCGUUAAACCCCAAUGGCGUAAUCAAGGUGAAGGGAAGUUCUCUUCCUCAGGGAGGAGCGGGUCCGGCUUCGGUCGGCCCCCGCACUCCCGGGGCGUCCCACGCUCAUUGCGAGCGGAGGCGCACCUAGAGCGUUCACGCUGGGACCCGAAAGAUGGUGAACUAUGCCUGGCCAGGACGAAGCCAGGGGAAACCCUGGUGGAGGUCCGUAGCGGUUCUGACGUGCAAAUCGAUCGUCGGAGCUGGGUAUAGGGGCGAAAGACUAAUCGAACCAUCUAGUAGCUGGUUCCCUCCGAAGUUUCCCUCAGGAUAGCUGGCAACCAGGCUGAGCUCGAGUCUCAUCUGGUAAAGCGAAUGAUUAGAGGCCUUGGGGUCGAAACGACCUCAACCUAUUCUCAAACUUUAAAUGGAUGAGAACCCCGGCUUGCUUGAAAGAGUGAAGCCGGGGCUCGGAUCAGGUUGCUAAGUGGGCCAAUUUUGGUAAGCAGAACUGGCGCUGUGG
RNAcentral lists this ribosomal RNA (543 nucleotides) under Halovelia novoguinensis. RNAcentral describes it as "partial large subunit ribosomal RNA". It matches the Rfam family "Eukaryotic large subunit ribosomal RNA", at positions 656 to 1161 of the family's 3401-position model. Lineage: Eukaryota; Metazoa; Arthropoda; Insecta; Hemiptera; Veliidae. The record is from RNAcentral.